Molecule: unclassified non-coding RNA, 305 nt
Filed under: fungal sp.
Lineage: Eukaryota; Fungi
Description: partial internal transcribed spacer region
Rfam family: Eukaryotic small subunit ribosomal RNA (bases 1-46)
Source: RNAcentral
AAGUCGUAACAAGGUAACCGUAGGUGAACCUGCGGUUGGAUCAUUAACAAAAAAAUUGGAAGGCUUUUUUGGAUACUUCUCCAGAAAAGCUUUUUAAAACACCAAUUGUGAACUUGUAUUAUUGUUUCUUUUCUGUGGUAUUCUCAUAUGACUGGUUUCGCGCUAGUUUUAUGUGGAUGCCCAGAAAAAACUUUUUUAAACUUAAAGGAUUAUACCAUUUUGACCAUUAAAUAAAAGUUUGAAAUUUUUUUUAAACAUUAAAUAAAUUAAAAAAACAACUUUUGGCAACGGAUCUCUAGGCUCUU